Molecule: ribosomal RNA, 864 nt
Filed under: uncultured bacterium
Lineage: Bacteria
Description: bacterial SSU rRNA
Rfam family: Bacterial small subunit ribosomal RNA
Source: RNAcentral
CAACGCUGGCGGCGUGCCUAACACAUGCAAGUCGAACGAGAAAGUGGGGGCAACCCUGCGAGUACAGUGGCAGACGGGUGAGUAACACGUGAACAACCUACCCUCGAGUGGGGAAUAACACCGCGAAAGCGGUGCUAAUACCGCAUAACAUCUUCAGAUCGCAUGGAUUGGAGAUCAAAAGCGCGAGUUGCUUGAGGAGGGGUUCGCGUCUGAUUAGCUAGUUGGUGAGGUAACGGCCCACCAAGGCAACGAUCAGUAGCCGGCCUGAGAGGGUGAACGGCCACACUGGAACUGAGACACGGUCCAGACUCCUACGGGAGGCAGCAGUGGGGAAUUUUGCGCAAUGGGCGAAAGCCUGACGCAGCAACGCCGCGUGGAGGAUGAAGGCCUUCGGGUCGUAAACUCCUGUCGAUGGGGACGAAAGCCGAGAGGUAUGACUGUACCCGUUGAGGAAGCCACGGCUAACUCCGUGCCAGCAGCCGCGGUAAUACGGAGGUGGCAAGCGUUGUUCGGAAUUACUGGGCGUAAAGGGCGCGUAGGCGGCCUGACAAGUCAGAUGUGAAAGCCCCGGGCUUAACCCGGGAAUUGCAUCUGAAACUGUUGGGCUUGAGUUCUGGAGGGGGUAGUGGAAUUCCCAGUGUAGCGGUGAAAUGCGUAGAUAUUGGGAGGAACACCUGCGGCGAAGGCGGCUACCUGGACAGAAACUGACGCUGAGGCGCGAAAGCUAGGGGAGCGAACAGGAUUAGAUACCCUGGUAGUCCUAGCUGUAAACGAUGAGCACUUGGUGUUGGGGGUAUUGAGUCCCUCGGUGCCGGAGUUAACGCGUUAAGUGCUCCGCCUGGGGAGUACGGUCGCAAGACUGAA